RNAcentral lists this ribosomal RNA (412 nucleotides) under uncultured bacterium. Its description in RNAcentral is "bacterial SSU rRNA". It matches the Rfam family "Bacterial small subunit ribosomal RNA", at positions 505 to 916 of the family's 1533-position model. The record is from RNAcentral.
GUGCCAGCAGCCGCGGUAAUACAGAGGGUGCAAGCGUUAAUCGGAAUUACUGGGCGUAAAGCGUGCGUAGGUGGUUUGUUAAGUCAGGUGUGAAAUCCCGGGGCUCAACCUCGAAAUUGCGCUUGAUACUGGCAGACUCGAGUGUGGUAGAGGAUAGUGGAAUUCCCGGUGUAGCGGUGAAAUGCGUAGAUAUCGGGAGGAACAUCAGUGGCGAAGGCGGCUAUCUGGACCAACACUGACACUGAGGUACGAAAGCGUGGGUAGCAAACAGGAUUAGAUACCCUGGUAGUCCACGCCCUAAACGAUGGGUACUAGACGUCGGGAAGCUUGUCUUCUUGGUGUCGCAGCUAACGCAAUAAGUACCCCGCCUGGGGAGUACGGUCGCAAGAUUAAAACUCAAAGGAAUUGGCGG